Molecule: ribosomal RNA, 464 nt
Filed under: uncultured bacterium
Lineage: Bacteria
Description: partial 16S ribosomal RNA
Rfam family: Bacterial small subunit ribosomal RNA
Source: RNAcentral
GACGAACGCUGGCGGCGUGCUUAACACAUGCCAGUCGUACGGUAAGGCCCUUUCGGGGGUACACGAGUGGCGAACGGGUGAGUAACACGUGAGUAACCUGCCCACAACUUUGGGAUAACGCUAGGAAACUGGUGCUAAUACUGGAUAUGUGCUCCUGCUGCAUGGUGGGGGUUGGAAAGCUCCGGCGGUUGUGGAUGGACUCGCGGCCUAUCAGCUUGUUGGUGGGGUAGUGGCCUACCAAGGCGGCGACGGGUAGCCGGCCUGAGAGGGUGACCGGCCACAUUGGGACUGAGAUACGGCCCAGACUCCUACGGGAGGCAGCAGUGGGGAAUAUUGCACAAUGGGCGCAAGCCUGAUGCAGCAACGCCGCGUGCGGGAUGACGGCCUUCGGGUUGUAAACCGCUUUCAGCAGGGACGAAGCUUUUUGUGACGGUACCUGCAGAAGAAGCACCGGCUAACUACGU